Molecule: RNA transcript, 1526 nt
Organism: Syzygium oleosum
Lineage: Eukaryota; Viridiplantae; Streptophyta; Magnoliopsida; Myrtales; Myrtaceae
Gene name: ABC transporter I family member 6, chloroplastic
Exons: 8
Source: RefSeq, a predicted model, not a curated record
GAGAGAAGUUUUUAGGUAGGAAAGAGUCCAUUUGAGCUCUCAGGCUAGAAAAGCGGCUUCACUUCCAUGGCUUCACCACCGUCGCUCACCACCGCGCAACCUCCCAUGGCGGUCUCCCUCCACGGCCGCUGCACUCUCCCUCCUCAUCUUCUUCCUCCUUCCUGCAGAAUCCAGCCUCCUCCGUCCACUCCUCCUCUUUCUUCCAAGCUCCCGGUCCCGCUCCGCUCCGCCGCUCGCCGCCGCCGCCCGGCCCCGAUCGCCCCGCGGUGCGCCGUCAGGGCCGCCCUCCCGACCGUCGACCGCGCGGCGACGCCCGCCGGGAGCGGGGACGGGGAGCUCCUGCUCGAGGUCAGGGGCUUGACCGCCGUGAUUGCCGAGACGGGGCAGGAGAUUAUUAAGGGCGUUGACCUCGCCAUCUACGAGGGAGAGGUUCAUGCGAUAAUGGGGAAGAACGGUUCUGGGAAGAGCACAUUUGCGAAGGUUCUUGUUGGGCAUCCAGAUUAUGAAGUAACUGGCGGCAGUAUGAUGUUUAAAGGCGAGAAUUUACUUGAAAUGGAACCUGAGAACCGGUCACUUGCUGGGCUAUUUAUGAGCUUCCAAUCACCAGUUGAAAUACCUGGUGUCAGCAACGCUGACUUUCUCAAUAUGGCAUACAAUGCUCGAAGAAGAAAGCUUAAUCAACCUGAGCUUAGUCCAAUUGAGUUUUGGGCUUAUGUAUAUCCAAAACUUGAUCUUCUGAACAUGAAGGCAGACUUCCUGAACAGAAAUGUCAAUGAAGGAUUUAGUGGUGGAGAGAGAAAGCGGAACGAAAUUUUACAACUUGCGGUUCUUGGGGCAGAAUUAGCUAUAUUGGAUGAAAUUGAUUCUGGGCUGGAUGUUGAUGCACUUAGAGAUGUGGCAAAAGCAGUAAAUGGACUUUUGACUCCUAAGAAUUCUGUUUUGAUGAUUACUCAUUAUUUAAGACUCCUGGAGUUCAUAGAACCUAGGUAUGUCCAUGUAAUGGAGAAUGGAAAGAUUGUGAAGACAGGUGACAUCUCCAUAGCUAAAACUCUUGAAAAGGAGGGCUUCAAGGCAAUAUCUGAGAUAUAACUGCGCAUCAGCUUUAGAAGAUUUGACUUUUUAUGACAAGGCAGGAAGACAGUGCAAUUGCAGAGUCUCUCUUCAUUGCUCCAAGUUUCCUUAGAUCCAUUUGAUGGGUUUUUAACUGAUUACAGUUCCUCAAAGAAAGCUCCCUGGUAAGAAAAGACAGGUGUCCUGCCAUACAGAGGCGUAAAAUAUGUAUACUGUUGCUGAUUGAUUUGCAUUAUGAAUGGUUUGGUUGAUGUAGCUGCUUUAAAUAAUUCCAGCGGCUUUGGCUUUGCAGUAGUCUCAAUUUUGUCAUUUAUGUGAAUCCCUUUAUAUCCUCUUCGAAUUUAAGUGUAUGUGGAUGAGUUGACAGAAAGCGUGAAUGUUAUAUCCGAAUUGGGAACUUCAGUACUCGUUGAAAUGCGCAUUGUGAAACGCUGUUACAUGUUUUCCUUUGUUAA